AGGUGUCACUGCCAAGGGAUGCCCCAGUGCCACCCUGCAGGUGUCACUGCUAAGGGUACCCCAGUGCCACCCUGCAGGUGUCACUGCCGAGGGAUGCCCCAGUGCCACCCUGCAGGUUUCACUGCUGAGGGAUGCCCCAGUGCCACCCUGCAGGUGUCACUGCUGAGGGAUCCUCCAGUGCCAC
Molecule: long non-coding RNA, 184 nt
Organism: Zonotrichia leucophrys gambelii
Lineage: Eukaryota; Metazoa; Chordata; Aves; Passeriformes; Passerellidae
Exons: 3
Source: RefSeq, a predicted model, not a curated record